AGGUUAUGCAAGAGAAGCGGGGCAGGUGAGAGUGCAGGAUCGGGGAGGCUGAAUUCCAACUGUGGAGGAGCCAGCAGUGAUGGUCAAUCUCACACUUCAAAAAAUUUGCCCCCUGCUGUCCUCCUCUGGCAUGAUAGGUGUGUGGCCUACACGUGGGCAAAUCAGAUCAUCUGCAACGGUGUUUCUCAACCCCAGCACUGCUGGCAAUUUGGGUACCUGGAAAUUAAUACUUCUUGAAAACGGUUACCACCAUGGAGGGAGCUGCAUCUUCCAUUCUUACUAAUAGAAAAUGAUCGUUUGCUUUGAAGCAGUUAACGGAGAUACAUAAAAAACAAGAGAAGAGGAGAUGAGGAUGAAGAACCAGUAGUGACUUACAGUGCACAUGUGUUGUGAUGAUGAUUAAGUUUCAGUAUACAUCAUUCCACAUUUAUAGAUGAAUGUGCCCUGAACAGGAGAGAGGUUCCGCACCCAUUCUGGGAGUGGUGUCAUCAGUAUGGAACACUGCAUCACCAUGAAGGCAUGAGGUGUGAAAGUGUUGGGACACUCUUCUUUUCCUGCUCUUGGACAUCAGAACUCCAGGCUCUCCAGCGUUUGGACUCCAGGAUUUGCACCAGUGGUCCCAGGUUCUCAGUCCUCAAGCCUCAGACUUAGAGUUACAACAUCAGCUUCCCUGUUUUUGAGGCCUUUAGGCUUGGACUGAGCCAUGCUACUGUCAUCCUAAGGUCUCUAGCUUGCAGAUUAUCUGCCUGGGACUUAAACUUCGUAAUCAUGAACCAGUUCCCCUAAUAAAUUCCCUCUUAGGCAUCUAUAUCUCUAUCUGUGUCUACAUCUAUCUAUCUCUGAUAGGUUCUGUCUCUCUGGAGAAUCUAAUAUCUAUAUUAUAUUCACAAAUUUAAAUACGAAUGGCACAACUAUAUUAAGGUUACAUAAGUGAGGCUACAUACUGCAAAAUUCAAAAUAAAAUCAGUAUCCAAAAUUACACAUAAUUUAUAGAAAUUUUUUUGUAUUCUUCUCUAUAAAAUGGGGAUAACAUUAUCUAGGGCAUUGUAUUACUAUCAAAAUUAAAUAAGAUAUUGCAGGAGAGUAUUUAGAAGUGCUGGAUGAUGUUUCUAUUCUUGUUAUUGCUGAUUUUUUUUCUUAUUAUUAUUGAUAUUCAUAUAGUCAUCUUUAUGGAUGUUGGAAAGGCAUGGGACAUCAUCUGCUCCUGAUUAAAACACAAUUUUAUUUACCUAGAAAUAGAGGAAUUCUUCCUAAUCAUAUGUCCCAAGGAGCUACUACUUGUUUAUCAUGAGAACCUUGUACAGUGUCUGGCACAGAGUAGUUAUUCAAUAAAAGUUUGUUGAACCCAAC
This 1350-nucleotide long non-coding RNA is filed under the name Homo sapiens (human). Its description in RNAcentral is "HSALNT0362777". The record is from RNAcentral. Lineage: Eukaryota; Metazoa; Chordata; Mammalia; Primates; Hominidae.